Molecule: transfer RNA, 72 nt
Filed under: Helicobacteraceae bacterium
Lineage: Bacteria; Pseudomonadati; Campylobacterota; Epsilonproteobacteria; Campylobacterales; Helicobacteraceae
Description: tRNA-Leu
Rfam family: tRNA
About the family: Transfer RNA (tRNA) molecules are approximately 80 nucleotides in length. Their secondary structure includes four short double-helical elements and three loops (D, anti-codon, and T loops). Further hydrogen bonds mediate the characteristic L-shaped molecular structure. tRNAs have two regions of fundamental functional importance: the anti-codon, which is responsible for specific mRNA codon recognition, and the 3' end, to which the tRNAs corresponding amino acid is attached (by aminoacyl-tRNA synthetases). tRNAs cope with the degeneracy of the genetic code in two manners: having more than one tRNA (with a specific anti-codon) for a particular amino acid; and 'wobble' base-pairing, i.e. permitting non-standard base-pairing at the 3rd anti-codon position.
Source: RNAcentral
GUCGAAAUGGCGACGCGACGGACGCGGCGGAUUCAAAAUCCGCCCGCGGGGGGUUCAACUCCCUCUUCGGCA